RNAcentral lists this non-coding RNA (73 nucleotides) under Anaerococcus vaginalis. Its description in RNAcentral is "Fluoride sequence". It matches the Rfam family "Fluoride riboswitch aptamer (crcB RNA motif)". The record is from RNAcentral. RNAcentral also lists the same sequence under 1 other name. Lineage: Bacteria; Bacillati; Bacillota; Tissierellia; Tissierellales; Peptoniphilaceae.
AUACUAAAAGGGAAUGAAGUUCUCCCUUAGAUUAUUUCUAAAACCGCAUUUUGCUGAUGACUUCUGUUACUAU